RNAcentral lists this ribosomal RNA (253 nucleotides) under uncultured bacterium. RNAcentral describes it as "partial 16S ribosomal RNA". It matches the Rfam family "Bacterial small subunit ribosomal RNA", at positions 524 to 776 of the family's 1533-position model. The record is from RNAcentral.
UACGGAGGGUGCAAGCGUUGCUCGGAAUUAUUGGGCGUAAAGGGUAGGUAGGUGGUCUCAUUUGUCUGGGGUGAAAGCCUUGAGCUUAACUCAAGAAGUGCCCCAGAAACGGUGAGACUAGAGUCCUGGAGAGGGUCGUGGAAUUCCCGGUGUAGCGGUGAAAUGCGUAGAUAUUGGGAGGAACACCGGUGGCGAAGGCGGCUCACUGGACCGGUACUGACGCUGAUGCGCGAAAGCGUGGGGAGCAAACGGG